RNAcentral lists this transfer RNA (66 nucleotides) under Acroneuria hainana. Its description in RNAcentral is "tRNA-Phe". The record is from RNAcentral. Lineage: Eukaryota; Metazoa; Arthropoda; Insecta; Plecoptera; Perlidae.
AUUCAGAUAGCUUAUGCAAGAGCGUGGCAUUGAAGCUGCCAAGGAGACUAGUCUAGUCUUUGAAUA